RNAcentral lists this long non-coding RNA (2032 nucleotides) under Homo sapiens (human). Its description in RNAcentral is "non-protein coding lnc-PMFBP1-3:6". The record is from RNAcentral. Lineage: Eukaryota; Metazoa; Chordata; Mammalia; Primates; Hominidae.
UCUGACCUUACCUGGUUCUCAACUGAGUCCUCAGUCUUGUGCCCUGCCUGGGCACAUGGAAGUCAUCCAUAAAUACUUGUUGGUGAGACUCUUUCAAGUCACAGGUUCAUCUUAAGAAAGUGAAAGCCUCUCUCUCAGGUUCCUAAGUUAAUGUUUCAUCUUCUGUUUAAAAUAAUUCAUUAGGGUGGUUCAGCCGGCUGUCACUAUCCUGACAGUAGGCAGGAAUGCAAAAUCCACUUUUUAAAAUAGCCUCAUUGGUAGAGGAAUAUUGGCCUCACCUAACACCCAUUUGGGCUAUCCUGGCUGGAAAUGCACUGGCCCACAUCUUUAUUUGCAUCCUCCAGGAUUACAGGACAGUCUCAUUUUUCAGGUGGCAUCAUCACGGCUCAUAAAUUGAACAACACUUCCAUUAGAUUGCGCUAGGCAUCAUCUUCAAAACUCUAACAUCUGGAUGUUUCCAAAUAGCCUGCUAUGUAGAUGAUUGAUGGCUUUCAUUCUUGGUUGGAUUCUGAUAUAGGCCAUAGCUGUUGGGAUUGGAAUUGGUGGUCCUGAUGUGCCAGUAUGUGAUCAACUGAUCGAUAACAUGGGUGGCCAUGCAGUGAGGCCCAAGAGUGUGGGCCACCUGAGAGGUCAACUGCUGCUCUGUCCAUGGUAUUUGGUGCUUCAUUCACAAGUUUAGAGAAAGAUUUCAAAGCUUUACUUGUGUGUCUAUCGAUACAUGACAGUCUGUUGCCAAGAUACAAUGCUUAAACUGUUUGGGUGGCCCGGGAAUACUUUCACAUCUUCCUAAGAAGGGGGAUGAACGCCCCCUCAAGACUUCCUACAAAGACAAGAGAGCACGACGCUCUGAGUUGCUACUGAAUGAUUGAUGUGGUCUUGUUUGUACAUGUGCUUCUAUGUUUUCUAAUGUGUAUUUAAUGAAGCUUCCCAUGUGCCAGGUAUCUUCAAAGCCCUAGAGACAUGGUGGUCAAUGUGGGUGGCCAGGCCCCAGCUCUUGUGCAGCUUACAUCAAGAAGGGUUUAUGAGGAGUAAAUCAAAAGAAAAAAAUAUAAGGGUCAGGUAAAGAAUUAAAAUCAAACAUAAGAUGGGUGACUAGGGGUUGUUGAGGUACCUGUUGUAGAGGGAUAGUCAGGGAAGGAAAUUUUUUUUUUUCGAGAUGGAGUCUUGCUCUUUCGCCCAGGCCGGACUGCAAGUGGCACUGUCUCGGCUCACUGCAAGCUCUGCCUCCCGGGUUCACGCCAUUCUCCUGCCUCAGCCUCCCAAGUAGCUGGGACUACAGGCACCCACCACCACGCCCAGCUAAUUUUUUUGUAUUUUUAGUAGAGACGGGGUUUCACCAUGUUAGCCAGGAUGGUCUCGAUCUCGUGACCUCAUGAUCCACCCACCUCGGCCUCCCAAAGUGCAGAAGGAAGGAACUUUUUUAAAAAAAUGAACCUUCUGUGUUCCUGAGUUGGAUAAUUUCAAACAUAUCCACAAGUAGAGCAUGAACCAGCAGACCCCAUGAACCCAUCAUCUGUGUUCCUGAGUUGGAUAAUUUCAAACAUAUCCACAAGUAGAGUAUGAACCAGCAGACCCCAUGAACCCAUCAUCCAUCCUCGGCAGAUACCCACUCACAGCCAGUCCUGUUUCAUCUAUACACUACCCCUCACUCCCUGCUUCCGUUUACUCAAUUAUUUUCAAACAAAUCUUGGUUAUAUCAUUUCAUCCCUAUUUCUUUCUCUCUCUCUCUCUCUGUCUGUCUCUGUCUCUGUCUCUCUCUCUCUCUGUCUCUGUCACCCAAGUUGGAGUGCAGUAGCGCGAUCAUAGCUCUUUACAGCCUUGAUCUUCCAGGCUCAAGCCAUCCUCCUGCCUCAGUCUCCUGAGUAGCUGGGACUACAGGCACGCACCAUCAUGCCUGGCUAAAUUUUUUUUUUUUUUUUUUUUUUUUUUUAGUAGAGAUGAGAUUUUGCCGUGUUGUCCAAGUUGGUCUUGAAUUCCUGAGCUCAAGCAAUCCUCCCACUCCGACCUCCCAAAGCACUGGGAUUACAGGUGU